UGCUGGGUGGCCGAGGGCUUAGGCAGCGAGCUUUUAACUCGCCAACGACCAAAAGUGGUCCCCAGCAA
RNAcentral lists this transfer RNA (68 nucleotides) under Patelloida saccharinoides. RNAcentral describes it as "tRNA-Lys". The record is from RNAcentral. Lineage: Eukaryota; Metazoa; Mollusca; Gastropoda; Lottiidae.